GGGGGAGUAUGGUCGCAAGGCUGAAACUUAAAGGAAUUGACGGAAGGGCACCACCAGGAGUGGAGCCUGCGGCUUAAUUUGACUCAACACGGGGAAAUAGAACUAGGUGUGCGGGGUAUAAUAGAACUAGGUGUGCGGGGUAUAAUAGAACUAGGUGUGCGGGGUAUAAUAGAACUAGGUGUGCGGGGUAUAAUAGAACUAGGUGUGCGGGGUAUAAUAGAACUAGGUGUGCGGGGUAUAAUAGAACUAGGUGUGCGGGGUAUAAUAGAACUAGGUGUGCGGGGUAUAA
RNAcentral lists this non-coding RNA (289 nucleotides) under Pichia membranifaciens NRRL Y-2026. RNAcentral describes it as "Eukaryotic small subunit ribosomal RNA". It matches the Rfam family "Eukaryotic small subunit ribosomal RNA", at positions 1117 to 1589 of the family's 1831-position model. Lineage: Eukaryota; Fungi; Ascomycota; Pichiomycetes; Pichiales; Pichiaceae. The record is from Rfam by way of RNAcentral.